RNAcentral lists this ribosomal RNA (497 nucleotides) under uncultured bacterium. RNAcentral's name for it is "partial 16S ribosomal RNA". It matches the Rfam family "Bacterial small subunit ribosomal RNA", at positions 28 to 507 of the family's 1533-position model. The record is from RNAcentral.
GAUGAACGCUGGCGGCGUGCCUAAUACAUGCAAGUCGAGCGAACGGACGAGAAGCUUGCUUUUCUGAUGUUAGCGGCGGACGGGUGAGUAACACGUGGAUAACCUACCUAUAAGACUGGGAUAACUUCGGGAAACCGGAGCUAAUACCGGAUAAUAUUUUGAACCGCAUGGUUCAAAAGUGAAAGACGGUCUUGCUGUCACUUAUAGAUGGAUCCGCGCUGCAUUAGCUAGUUGGUAAGGUAACGGCUUACCAAGGCAACGAUGCAUAGCCGACCUGAGAGGGUGAUCGGCCACACUGGAACUGAGACACGGUCCAGACUCCUACGGGAGGCAGCAGUAGGGAAUCUUCCGCAAUGGGCGAAAGCCUGACGGAGCAACGCCGCGUGAGUGAUGAAGGUCCUCGGAUCGUAAAACUCUGUUAUUAGGGAAGAACAUAUGUGUAAGUAACUGUGCACAUCUUGACGGUACCUAAUCAGAAAGCCACGGCUAACUACGUG